This 885-nucleotide ribosomal RNA is filed under the name Zasmidium arcuatum. Its description in RNAcentral is "LSU rRNA". It matches the Rfam family "Eukaryotic large subunit ribosomal RNA", at positions 41 to 962 of the family's 3401-position model. Lineage: Eukaryota; Fungi; Ascomycota; Dothideomycetes; Mycosphaerellales; Mycosphaerellaceae. The record is from RNAcentral.
UAUCAAUAAGCGGAGGAAAAGAAACCAACAGGGAUUGCCCUAGUAACGGCGAGUGAAGCGGCAACAGCUCAAAUUUGAAACCUGGCGCAAGCCCGGAUUGUAAUUUGUAGAGGAUGCUUCUGGGUAGCGGCCGGUCUAAGUUCCUUGGAACAGGACGUCAUAGAGGGUGAGAAUCCCGUAUGCGACCGGCACGCACCCUCCACGUAGCUCCUUCGACGAGUCGAGUUGUUUGGGAAUGCAGCUCUAAAUGGGAGGUAAAUUUCUUCUAAAGCUAAAUACCGGCCAGAGACCGAUAGCGCACAAGUAGAGUGAUCGAAAGAUGAAAAGCACUUUGGAAAGAGAGUUAAAAAGCACGUGAAAUUGUUGAAAGGGAAGCGCUUGCAACCAGACUCCGCGGCGGUGUUCCGCCGGUCUUCUGACCGGUCUACUCGCCGCCGUGGGGCCAACAUCGUCUGGGGCCGCCGGAUAAGACCGGAGGAAUGUAGCUCAUUGAGUGUUAUAGCCUCCGGUGAUGCGGCGCGUCCCGGGCGAGGUCCGCGCUUCGGCAAGGAUGUUGGCGUAAUGGUUGUCAGCGGCCCGUCUUGAAACACGGACCAAGGAGUCUAACAUCUAUGCGAGUGUUCGGGUGUCAAACCCCUACGCGUAAUGAAAGUGAACGGAGGUGGGAACCGCAAGGUGCACCAUCGACCGAUCCUGAUGUCCUCGGAUGGAUUUGAGUAAGAGCAUAGCUGUUGGGACCCGAAAGAUGGUGAACUAUGCCUGAAUAGGGUGAAGCCAGAGGAAACUCUGGUGGAGGCUCGCAGCGGUUCUGACGUGCAAAUCGAUCGUCAAAUUUGGGUAUAGGGGCGAAAGACUAAUCGAACCAUCUAGUAGCUGGUUCCUGCC